GAUGAACGCUGGCGGCGUGCCUAAUACAUGCAAGUCGAGCGAACGGACGAGAAGCUUGCUUCUCUGAUGUUAGCGACGGACGGGUGAGUAACACGUGGAUAACCUACCUAUAAGACUGGGAUAACUUCGGGAAACCGGAGCUAAUACCGGAUAAUAUUUUGAACCGCAUGGUUCAAAAGUGAAAGACGGUCUUGCUGUCACUUAUAGAUGGAUCCGCGCUGCAUUAGCUAGUUGUUAAGGUAACGGCUUACCAAGGCAACGAUGCAUAGCCGACAUGAGAGGGUGAUCGGCCACACUGGAACUGAGACACGGUCCAGACUCCUACGGGAGGCAGCAGUAGGGAAUCUUCCGCAAUGGGCGAAAGCCUGACGGAGCAACGCCGCGUGAGUGAUGAAGGUCUUCGGAUCGUAAAACUCUGUUAUUAGGGAAGAACAUAUGUGUAAGUAACUGUGCACAUCUUGACGGUACCUAAUCAGAAAGCCACGGCUAACUACGUG
RNAcentral lists this ribosomal RNA (497 nucleotides) under uncultured bacterium. Its description in RNAcentral is "partial 16S ribosomal RNA". It matches the Rfam family "Bacterial small subunit ribosomal RNA", at positions 28 to 507 of the family's 1533-position model. The record is from RNAcentral.